This 262-nucleotide ribosomal RNA is filed under the name uncultured bacterium. RNAcentral describes it as "partial 16S ribosomal RNA". It matches the Rfam family "Bacterial small subunit ribosomal RNA", at positions 251 to 504 of the family's 1533-position model. The record is from RNAcentral.
GGUGAGGUAACGGCUCACCAAGGCAACGAUGCAUAGCCGACCUGAGAGGGUGAACGGCCACACUGGGACUGAGACACGGCCCAGACUCCUACGGGAGGCAGCAGUAGGGAAUCUUCCGCAAUGGACGAAAGUCUGACGGAGCAACGCCGCGUGAACGAUGAAGGUUUUCGGAUCGUAAAGUUCUGUUGUUAGGGAAGAACAAACUUCGUUUGAAUAAGGCGGAGUCAUGACGGUACCUAACGAGAAAGCCACGGCUAACUAC